AGAGUUUGAUCCUGGCUCAGGAUGAACGCUAGCUACAGGCUUAACACAUGCAAGUCGAGGGGAACGACAUCGAAAGCUUGCUUUUCGAUGGGUGUCGACCGGCGCACGGGUGAGUAACGCGUAUCCAACCUGCCCACCACUUGGGGAUAACCUCGCGAAAGUAAGACUAAUACCCAAUGAUAUCUCUAGAAGACAUCUGAAAGAGAUUAAAGAUUUAUCGGUGAUGGAUGGGGAUGCGUCUGAUUAGCUUGUUGGCGGGGUAACGGCCCACCAAGGCAACGAUCAGUAGGGGUUCUGAGAGGAAGGUCCCCCACAUUGGAACUGAGACACGGUCCAAACUCCUACGGGAGGCAGCA
RNAcentral lists this ribosomal RNA (356 nucleotides) under uncultured bacterium. RNAcentral's name for it is "bacterial SSU rRNA". It matches the Rfam family "Bacterial small subunit ribosomal RNA", at positions 8 to 353 of the family's 1533-position model. The record is from RNAcentral.